Molecule: small nucleolar RNA, 175 nt
Organism: Oryctolagus cuniculus (rabbit)
Lineage: Eukaryota; Metazoa; Chordata; Mammalia; Lagomorpha; Leporidae
Gene: SNORA74
Rfam family: Small nucleolar RNA SNORA74
About the family: U19 belongs to the H/ACA class of snoRNAs. snoRNAs bind a number of proteins (including dyskerin, Gar1p and Nop10p in the case of the H/ACA class) to form snoRNP complexes. This class are thought to guide the sites of modification of uridines to pseudouridines by forming direct base pairing interactions with substrate RNAs.
Source: Ensembl
UCCAGUGGUGGUUUGAUGCCUGUGAUGGUGUUACACUGCUGGAAGAGCGAGCAGUCUUCACUGAGGUCCGGCCCGAGCACUGGUACUGUGGGCAAGAACCCUUGGGCGGUGUCUUGUGCCUUUGAGAAUAGAAUGACUCCUCCUGUGGAGCUGGUCCUAGUGGGGUGCAAACAAC